Molecule: long non-coding RNA, 19676 nt
Filed under: Homo sapiens (human)
Lineage: Eukaryota; Metazoa; Chordata; Mammalia; Primates; Hominidae
Description: non-protein coding lnc-DTNBP1-16:1
Source: RNAcentral
ACACACUCUGAUGGUUCCCACUUGAAAUUGCUCAUCAAGUGCAAAUAGCUCCCAGCCUGGAUGGCUGAGCUGCUCUCCAGCCUCCUCUCUCUGGAGUAAGAAGAUUUCAGCUUGUGACCUGCCCUCGGGACUUGUGGGUGUACAAAGCCUGUGACCCAGGAAACAAAGUCAACGGCUCACUUUGUCCCCACCCCACCCUACCCCGUCUCCCUCCUACUAAAUGCUGAAUCUCACGAGAGAAGAAAACCAGCCACAUAAAGGAUUUGAAAGCUCAACUUGCUUUCCCACUCUGUUAUCCCUGGAGUUGGCUUGGAUUCACCCUGAAGCCUUCCCCCUCCCGGGGAAAGUUGCUUCACGUUGCAGCUCAGCAGGUUUGUCCAGCUACAUAGGCUCCAGAAAACAAGAAGCAAGACUGGAAAGCUGGGGAUGAUUGUACGCCCUCGCCUGAAUCUUACGUGGUUCCUCCUUCUUCCACCUGGCCAGUGCAGAGCCGUGGGUGCCACGUGGCCACUUCUGGAUUGGGUUCCCCUUGGCCUGCCACCCUGUCCUUCUGCUUUCCCACUUUGCCAGCCAGAGUCAAUUUGAGGACGCCAAGUUCUCCUCUCCAUACAGAGCUCCUGGUCUCCUUGUAACUUGUAACUCCUGGGCACAGUUACAAGUGCUGAAUUCUUGCGAGGAUGAACUCAAGAUACAAAAUAUGCUUGGCAACUCACCCCUGAGUGGCCACAGGCACACGCAGGAGUCGAACCCACCCACCUCUGCUGACAGUCAUGGGUCAAGCUCAAAGUCCUGGCUGCUUCUCUGCUCAAGGUGGUGUCUCACUAUGUUGCCCAGGUUGGAUUCGAACUCCUGUGCUCAAAUGAUCUUCCCCUACCUCCAGGGUAACUGUGGAGACUACCAAAUGGACUCGUCUAGAUUUCACAUGCAACGUGGCUCUGCCUUCCCUGAGCACUCUGGGCCUUUCCAUGGAGACAGAAUGAAUAGAUAAUGAGCAUGGUCUAAUAAACAGAGAAGGCUCAGGAGGGUCAGAAACACGGUGCCUCAUUUCUCAGCCUACUUGCCAAGAAUUCCCAAAAAGGAAGCACUGGAGGAUCAUUCCAAGGCUUGAGGUCCAGGACUACCCACUUCCCUUGGAAUGGUGUUGCCAUCACUGUUCUGGCACCGGAGAAAGGAUUCUACAUCGUUAGGAGAAAAGAAAAAGGAGAAUUUGGGCUUGCACUGAGAGGAUUACCUUUGGUGGUCUGGAAGUGGUGGUAAGUCCUGGACAAUUCUCACAUUAAUCGUUUUUGCCUGUUUAAAAUGGGAAAAAUAAUGCCUACUUUAUAGGACUGCUAGGAGGCUUAAGUAAGUAUGUGUGCUUGUAAACUCUCCACAGAUGCAUGCUGUCAUUAUGAUCUUUGCUGCACAAGCAUUAUUUAACGUCCUCAGUGUGAUUUUUUAAAUUUCACUCUCACAAAAGAUAGGUUUCCUCUUCAUAAUAAACAUGCGUCUACUUCCCUUUUUGAACGUAAGAUCCCAAACAAAAAGGAAAUUGAUGUCCUUAUAAAAAGGAGCCAAUGCAAGAAGCAUCUAGAAGUAACUUUAGAUGCAGUGUCAAGAAGUUUAUUAGUGACAGUCAUGUACAUAGCACAGUGUAGAGUAAUGCAAAUCUGUGCUUAUACCACCCAUUUAAAAUAAUUUUAGUUAGCACAUGAAUUUGUUGCAUAUAAGCAGCACCUUUGACAAGUUAUUUAUUUAAAAGGGUCAGAUUCAGGCAUUGUUUCUAAAGUAGAACUUCAAUGGCAAAAUCUGAAAAUGUUAUUCUUUCAAUUAAAAAAAGUGAGUAGGUGUGUGUGUGUGUGCGUUUAUCACUGGUUUCAUGAGUAUUGCUGAUUCUCAUAAUAGACAGAUUAGAAAAUCUGACCAACUCUGUAUUAAUUAUCUAUUGUUGCACAACAGAUUACUCUAAUACUUAGUUAAAACAACAGACCUUUGUCAGUGUGUGGUUUUUGUGGGUCAGGUACAUAAAAGAGGUUCAGCUGAGUGGUUCUUGUUUGGAAUCUCUUAUGAGUUUUCAGCCAUGCUAUUAACAGGGGUUUUGAUCAUCUGAAGGUUUAACUGGGGCUGAAGAGCCUGCCCCCAAGAUGAGUCACUCUUGUUUAGUGGUUAGCAGGAAACCCCAGCUCCAUGCUGGCUAUUGGCAGGAGGCCUCGGUGUUUCACAAUGUGUACCUCUCCAUAGGAUUGCUUGAGUAUCUUCGCAACAUGGCAACCGGCGUCUCCCACAGGGACUGAUCUAAGAAAGAAUAAGGAAGAAGCCUCAAUGCCUUUUAUGUCUUAAUCAUGAGGUCAAAUACCAUGCCUUCUUCUAUAUUCUGUUUGCUAGAAGCAAGUUACUAAGUACAGCCCAUACUUAAAGGAAGAAGAAUUAGACUCUACUUUUUGAAAGGAGGAGUAUCAAAUAAUUUUUUAACAUGUUGCAAAACCAACAUAAGUUCUUUGGUAUAAAUUGCACUUUUCUAUUGUUGGUAUUCAGAACAAAACAUUUUUCACAAUUGCAAUAGCUACCUAUAUUAUUGGAUUCUCAGAAUACAGAACAUAAAUCUCUUUAUUGGUUAUGAAGAAAAUGAAUUCAGAGGCAUAAGGAGCUUUCUUCAGGUACAGAGAAGUUCAGUGUCCAACUCUAGACUUAGAUCUAGAAUUCCGAUAUAUAAUUUCAUAUGCAGUCAGAUUACAUCUAAAUAAUAAUAGCAAAAACAGGGCUCUUCUACUGUACUGUAAUUUACUUUUCCAACUUUUGGCUACUUACAAGAUCACAAACAUCUGGAUUUAAAUUGGAAACAUCUUCUCAAAAAUCCAGAUGUUUCCAAAUAUAGGUGUUUUUUUUUUAAGCCAUCAAAAACCCCUUGGUGAAUGAGUAACUAUGCAUGUUGAAUGGUUAUCCCAUUAAAAAUCUAACUCCCUUUCCCAAUUUACGUUAUUCUAGGUGGAAAGUUUCUAAUGUAAUCCAGUGUUAAAUUAGGAGUUUGGACUGACUGAGGCAACAAGAUAUAAGAGAUGUCAGAUAGCAAAGUGAGGUGAGAGACAGGACAUCAAGUCGGAAAUUUUGAAAGAAACUCUCCUGAAACCGCACAGCUUCUGUGCCUCUCCUCCAACAUUCCUCACCUAGGCUGAGGUUAAGAAGGGGGAUGUUAGAGUGAGGCAUUUGAAUGUUAGAAAAGCAAUCCCCCCACCGCAAAUAAGGGAACAGCCUCCACACCAGACUGCUUAGAGUUGAUAAAAGACCUCUGUAGGCCAAAGGCGCAAGGAACUCGUACCUGGCUCAUGACUUAUAAGACUUUGCCUAUGAGAAUUAGAAAACUCAUGAAGAGUUCUUGAAUUUUCACUAAGAGGCAGUGAAAUCAUUACUUCCACAGAACAGGUUUAAAGGGAUAGCAGAAAAUGAAAAUAAAGAUACUUUUAUAACUAUCCCUCAUGCAGCCUCUAUGUUUAACACAUGGAUCCACUAAAAUAUAUCACAGACAUUUUCUGCCUUUUAAACAAAGUAUGGUGAGUUAUUAAGAAAAGGUUAAGUUAUUUUCAGUGUUAUCAUGACUAAUGCAAUAAUUAAAAAAACCUUGGAUUUGAAUACUACAUUUUCAAAGUAACUCAAUACAAUGAUGUCCCCAAGGCUUAUGGAGAUCUAUGGGGUUAUUUACCCCAGACUCAUAAUUCUUACAUGUGUGUUUCCAAUUUUCCUGACACAUCAUUUGGUUUCUAUAUUUUCCAUUGUCACUUUCACUAAUUUCUUCAUGCUUCUGUAUAUUAUCUCCUCUCUCUUCUUUUAAUUGAUGUUUGGGAGAUAAACUUGUUGGAAUUGUGAGUGAAAUAAGAUUAAAUAGUACCAUGAUCUUUAUUUGUUAAUUGCUUGCUAACCAACAUUCUACACAGAGAAAGGUGCUGGAUAACUGACUUAUGAAUAAGGGAAUUCUGACUCAAUUUAUGUAUUAGGUAAAAAUUAAAAACCAGAGGUGUGUACAUACGAGGUAUUCAUUGACAUUAAGUAUUUGAUAAGUAAUUUUGGCUUCAUUUUUAAUAGGAUUUUUCUUUAUGUACUUUUAAAUUAGUUAAUUAAUUCGGCUAGUACAUAGUGAGUACCUAUUAUGUGCCAGAUGCUAAGCUGGUAUCCAUUAAUGCUGAAUUGGAUUAAACUGUUUAGUCAACUGCUUCUAUUUGAGUUCAUGAGCUCAAUCCUAACUGUGCUCUGUAACUUGGGCCAAGAAAUGGAUUUUCCAUGUCUUUUGAGAAUGGCAAAUCUCUUAUGCCACUUAAGAAGAUGAAGAGACAAUGCAUUUAAUACCAGAUGGGGAAUGAAUUCUAACCCAACAAAUGGCAGAGGAUUUGCUGUGAGGCCUGACAGCAAUAAAACUCACACUUUACUUUCAUAUGAUGCUUUAGUUUUCCAGAUUUCUUUAAGAACUGUCCUUGUAUUAUACUUCCACAACAGCUUUCUGAAAGGUAAGAGAACUCUGAAUUCUGUUACAAGUGAGGCUAAAUGUUCUAAUUGCCGAGAGCCAAUAACCAAGCCAGGGCUAGAGUUGCAUCUUUAUUCUGUAAAAUCCGCCUUUUCUUUCUUAAAUCAGGGCUCCAGCCUGGGCUUUGGAGGCUUAAUUUCUGCUGGUAUAAUAUUUAUUGGGCUGAUUUUGAUGCAAUGCAGAUCACAUAUUUAAAGAUAUAAUUGGACGUCCUUGUAGCCAAGUGGUUUCUCCAGAGCUCGAAAUGCACCAUCAGUGCCUGUGUUUGGGAACCUAUAUAUUUCUGACCUCUGCUCUACUUCAUAAAAGAGUUGAGUUACCAGAAACAGAACUGAAGGCCAAGAGUGGUUUUCAUGCAUUGAGCCCUUGGCAUUGGUUCCUGGUAGCAAACCUCUGCCCUUCAUGCAGCAGGAAGCUGAGAGAAAGACCUGCUUCCCAGGGCUAGAUGCUUUGGGAGAAGACAUUCCUCACCACCAGGUCAGUGUAGAGGCUUCUGCUGAGGCAACAAGGAAGGACUGAGGCUGGAGAAGGUCCAGGGUGUCCUAAUUGCCAUUGACUUCGAAGUCCUGCUUCCACUGCAGAGUGAAACUAUAAGAGGAAAGAGAAAUUUCCUACCCUACUGACACUCCCCACUUCCAGAAGCUCGGCUUCUACCUAUGGAGCUGUCAGGCUCCCUUUUCUGGUCAGCACUGGGGAAGUCAGUGAUGAGCAAGCCAUUGAGGCUGAAACACACAUUCAGGGUUUGCAGCCAACACCAACGUUUCCCUCAUUGCACAUAUUGUGUUGGGACAAUGGUCUGAUCAAAUGUUUCCUAAUUUCAUUGUGGACUUCCUCUCUCUAAUGAGUCCCUUUCUCCCAGCUCUAAAUAAAGAAGAUGCUAAAAACGUGACACACACUACAGAUGGGUCACCCACAUCUGGGCUUUUCAUCUUAAAGACGGGGUGGGGGUGGGGAGGACAGUUAAGCAAGACAUGGCUGACUUUUCUUAUAAAAGGGGUGAGUGGGGAAAGGGGGGGUAGAGAGAUGAGGGAAUGAGGCCGAAUCAUCCACCAUUGUUACUGAAUGACAGACAUAUCCAUUGGGACUAAUUAUAAUAACGAUCCCAGUCCAUAACUGACUCAGAGCUUGAGUGUCCCUCUCUAUGCCACAUUCUCAAAUGUGGGCACCUGGAUUGCACCCAUGAAGUUGACAUUUACCAGAGAAACCCAUGUACAGAUUGAUAUUUGCAUGUGAAAACUGGAUAAUUGUGUGUGUGAGAGCAAUAGAGUUUCUGUACACAAUUACCAGCCUCUCCUCGAGAUGUUGGGAGCAGUUUCUGGUCCUUUGGGAAACUGGCCUGCAAUUUGCUGGUGCAGACUGGAGUUCGGGGAGUGUAGGAGACACAUUCCCAGGUUUUAGGGAAGAAAGUGUGAUGAGUUGAGAUGGAUGCAUUGACCAUCUGUGAUGCACUCAGCACUGUAACAUGGUGUGUAAGACCACAGACUGUGCCAUCGGAUGGACCUGGAUUCCAAUUCCAGCUCCACUACAGCUCUCACUAGUGCAAAGUGCAGGAGAGUGUAGUUUCUUUGAGAAGCUAUAAAUAACUAUAUGUUUGAGCAUUGGGUCUGCAUCGUAUUGUAGCAGAAUCACGUAGGUCUCUGUAUUAGGCAAGGUUCUCUAGAGGGACGGAACUAAUAGGAUAGAUGUAUAUAUGAGGGGGAGUUUAUUAAGGAGUAUUUACUCACAUGAUCACAAGGUCAAGUCCCACGAUAGACUGUCUGCAAGCUGAGAAGCCAGUGGUGGAUCAGUCCGAGUCCCAAAACCUCAAAAGUAGGGAAACCGACAGUGCAGCCUUCAGUCUAUGGCCAAAGGCCUGAGAGCCCCUGGCCAGCCACUGGUGUAAGUCCAACAGUCCAAAAACUGAAGAACUUGGAGUCCAAUGUUCAUAGGCAGGAAGCAUCCAGCACAGGAGAAAGGUGAAGGCCAGAAGACUCAGCAAGUCUGCUCUUCCAUCUUCUGCUUGCUUUAUUCUAGCCAAGCUGGCAGCUGAUUAGAUGAUAACCACUCAGAUUGAGGGUGGAUCUGCCUCUCCCAUUUCACUGACUCAAAUGUUAAUCUCCUUUGGUCACACCCUCACAGACACACCCAGGAACAAUACUUCGCAUCCUUCAAUCCAAUCAAGUUGAUGCUCAGUAUUAACCAUUACAGUCUCCAAGGGAACAGAGUUGGCACAGUGAGGUUAAGUCUUUGGCAGAACAAGAUUUGAACCAAGACUGUCCCUUUUAAUUGUCCUGCAUUUAGCCAUCUCACAUGGGUGUUCAGUGAGCACUUGGUGAGUAAUGGGACUCCAAGCACAAAGAUGUUCAUCAUUCUUCUGUGUGUGAGUUUUCCUCUUCAGUUUGUGAGCCACACUGGGUCCUGUAAAGAAGGAAUCUUCAAGCCCAGUUUUAGGGAUGCAGGUAAUUUCCACAGCCAGUGCUUCCUGUGGUCAGUAUUGAGGAUCACAAAAGCCACAAGAUGCCACAAGGAGUCUGUCAAUUUUCUUUUUGUGUGUGUGUGUGUCGUCCAACCUGGAGUGCAGUGGCGCGAUCCCGGGUCACUGCAAGCUCCACCUCCCGGGUUCAUGCCAUUCUCCUGUCUCAGCCUCCAGAGCAGCUGGGACUACAGGCACCUGCCACCAAGCCCAGCUAAUUUUUUGUAUUUUUAGUAGAGACGGGGUUUCACCAUGUUAGCCAGGAUGGUCUCUAUCUCCUGACCUCAGGUGAUCUGCCUGCCUCGGCCUCCCAAAGUGCUGGGAUUACAGGCGUGAGCCACCGUGCCUGGCCAGGAGUCUCUCAAUUUUCUACCCCUGGCUUUACUGUAUCUUUGGCUGAAUCCUCUGCCUAGAGUGAACCAUGUCUUUCUCUCUUUCUCUUCUGCUCUUCUCUUCCUCAAGCUCAGAUGAAGCUGUACCUCUUCUUGGAAAAACAAACCCAUGAGAAAGGCACUAAUCCUAUCGCCACUAUAUGGAUGAGGAAACUGAGUUACAGAGAGAUUAAGUAACCAAUCCAACAUCAUAGAGCCAAUAAGUAGCAGAGGCAGGAUUUGAAUACUGACAGAUUGGUUCUAAAACCAGUGCUCCUAACCAUUAUACCAUGCAACUGCUCAAUUAGAAUAGCCGUGUGUGUGUGUGUGUGUGUGUGUGUGUGUGUGUAUACUGAGCUGGACCCUCAGUAUAUACAGUCAGUGAAUUUUUAAUGAAGAAGAAGGUGAGGAGUUUAUUUUGGCCUUGGACAGAUCACCAAGUAUUCUUGGGUUUAAGGCACAUUUUGGUAGUUUUCUAACUUUACCAGCAGAAUGUAGUCAACGACUGGGAAGAGUGGGCCUCGGUGGCGUUUUUAUGCCACCAACUGGCUUUAAGUGCACCAGCUAAAAGCAGUUUCUUGCUGGAGGAGCUGCAAGAACCAGGGGAAAGUGGCACUAUUCGUGCUAUGGUGUAAGACAUGUUGCAGAGUCACGUGUUCUGUUGCCAAUUUUGGAGGAAUGCCGUGAUGUAUUUUCUGUUGCAGCUCUGGGGCUUCUCCUAAACUCCUACUCCAAUCCCCAAGGUCUUUUUUUCCCCCUUCUGCAACAGGCUCUAGGAAAUCAACACACUUCCCUCUCCCUCAGAAGCUGCCACUGUCCUUUGGGGUUGGUUUCCUUAACACCCUCUGAAGACAAACACAAAACACCUUUUUGUCUUUAAGGCUUUUACUGCUAAUCGCAAGGGGAAAACAGAGCAUCACAAAAAUGGCAAUGAUGAGAAGCAGUAGAUGGUCCAGCAUCUUACAAAGUCCAUGUUGUCUGGAUCCUUUGUAGUUUUAAAUUCCUUCUGAAAUCAUGAAGGAAAGCCUCAAAGAUCUUGUGCCCACUUCUGAAGGUUGAACUCGCUUAAUCUUCCCACUGUUUUCUGAUUUCUCCUUUAGUGAGGUCAUAGGAAUAAUUUUCUUCAUGUGACUCCUCUUCCCAGCCUCAACAUGUAGUCUCUGGGUAUCCAGUAGGUGUUUGACUUCUGUAAAGACUUCCAGAGUGAGUUACUCUGGCUGGUUCAAUGCACUGCUCUUUCUCUGGGUCUUUCCCUACACUCACUAAGGUCCCCAAAGGCAGGAACCAUUCCCUGUUCUUCUGUCUCCUCUCUUGUUGAUGGGUUUAUGGCCAAAAGCCUGAGCUUAUUGUCUACACAAGCAAUGUAGAAAUGGUUUAUGGCUUGACUUGGGUCUUUAUCCCUGAAAGUAAUUCUCUGAUGGUAAAUUUGUACUUUUAUACUUGUCAUGAAUCGAAGGGCCUUCAGGGGAAUGUAAUUUUUAUUUAAAACCAUCUAGUAGAUGUUGGCAAAUACAAAAAUAGGAGAGUGGGUUGAGCCAGUCUGCUUGGGUGAAUGUCUGCUUGGAAAUCGCAUACUAGGAUAUGCUGUAUUGAGUAAUAAAGUAAAGGCUGUCUGGAGUCAGAUAGAUGUGGAGGUGCAAGAAGAGGGUGUACAAAUGUUCUUAGAGAUAGAUCUGGAGGUACAAGAAGAAGACGUACAAAUGUUCUUACUGUGCUUAUACCAUUGAAUGUACUUUGAUGAUUUGGUGCCAGAAAAGCAGAGAAACACAACUGCAAAGAAGCAAGAAAGGAGAAAGUAGGAUCAGAGGACCUGGGGAAGGGGCAGCCAGACCUGAGAGGCAAAGCUUAGAGAUCAGACAUCAUACUUGGGCUAGGAAAGGCAGCAUUUGAUGAGGCAAGGGAGCAGGGAAUGGCAUCUCUAAAGUAUGACCUGAGAUUGAAAGCACGUCAAGAGAAAGCCAAGAGCCGUGUGAAGCAAGUAAGAAAUAUCAGCCCCAAGAUCUGCUCUCCCUUCAGUAUGGGUGGCCUUUUCCUGUUCUCUUGUCUGCACUUUCUCAGGCAGUUGUGAAUGAUGAGGCCACCCAACAGAAAUGAUAAGCCCUCGAAACCUCCGUUUUGUUAUGCUCUUUUUCCAGCUAAGCAAUUUCUUCAUGAUGUGGGGCAGAGGGUUGGAGCAACGGUUCCCAGCAGACCACCAUGAGCUUCUCAUGAGAGAAGCUGCCCUGAAAAGAUACACGAUUGAGAGCAGAUGAUGAUAAUCAUUAUCAUCAUUUUGGCAAACUUAGAGGAGAACGCAUAUAGGAUACUAAAAUCUUAUGGUGCUGGCGAUGCAUUUUAUGGGAAUCUGGCAUUGAUUCAGAAGACAGUACUUCUACCCUGAGACUGUUGUAAUUUCAACAACUUAAAAUACAUGCCCACUUUAAGACAAUAUGUCAAGACUAUAGUGAGUGAAAUAAUAAUAAUAGCUAUUGUAAUUUGAAUGGGAAUUUCUUACCGUAGCCUGAUUAGCAGAGGGUCUUUAGUCAAGGACAUGCAUUAACAUCAUCUAUUGUACGAAUGAUAAUCUACUAAUGCAAUACUAUUAAUACAAGAGUCGCUUUGUAGAUUUGUCAUCAUUAUGUUAUAUGUCCAAUGAGUGUAUGUAAAAACAGUUAAGUAUUUCUCCAGUGUCCUUCUCCUUAAAGUAGCCCAUAUUUUAAGCUCAUCCAGCUCUGCUUCACUUGCAUGAGCAUCUUCCCCAGGCUCCUGGAGAAAGUCUGUUGCUUGGUCUGACAUCUCCUGCUUCUCUCCUUGGCCAAUCUCCUUUUCAACGUAAAGACCUUAUCCCUUAUUUCAAGCUCCUGAUUAGUUGUCUGUUUCUGUUGGUCUCAUGGACCUCACUACCUGUUUUGGAUGGAUUAUCCAGCUCUGAAGGGCUGUCAGACUCUCCUCCCAGAGGACAUCCAUCUAAGAACCCCUGUUCUUCAUCUCAGCACACUUUCUCUUAAUACUCUUCUUACUGAAUCAAAGAGCUGGGAGCUUCCACCUCAGUGUGGAAGAGCCAUAGGCGCCAGACUCCAACCCAUGAGCGCAGCUACAGGGGGCUGCAGCCUGGAAUGCCCUAGGGGCAGAGCCUACCUCUUGCACCAGGUUGCAGGACAUGGAGUCAAAAGAGAUGGUUUUGGAGCUUUAAGAUUUAAUGACUGCCCUGUUGGGUUUCAGACUUGUGUGGGGCUUAUUGUCCCUUUCUUUUGGCCAAUUUUCCCCUUUUGGAAUGGGAAUGAUACCCAUUCCCUGCACCAUCAUUAUAUCUUGGGAGUAAAUGACUUGUUUUUGAACUCACAGGCUCAUAGGUAGAAGGAACUUAUCUCCAAUUGAGACUUCAGACUUGAAACUUUUGAGUUAAUGCUGAAACGGGUUAAGACUUUGGGGGACUAUUGUGAAGGCAUGAUUGUCUUUUGAAAUGUGAGAAGGACAUGGGAUUUGGGGGGCCAGGGGUGGAAUGAUAUGGUUUGGAUGUUUGUCCUCUCACAAUUUCAUGUUGAAACGUGAUUCACAAUGUUGGAGGUUGGAUUAUGGCAAUGUAUUCCUCACGAAUAGCUUAGCCCCAUCCCCUUGGUGAUGAGUGAGUUCUUGCUCAGUUAGCUUAUAUGAGAGCUAGAUGCUUAAUGAGCCCAAUUCUUCCUGCACUCUCUCUUGCUCGUUUUUGCCAUGUCAUACACCUGCUCCCCCUUCACCUCUCACCAUUGAUUGUAAGCUUCCUUAGGCCUCACUAGAAACUGAGCAGUUGCUGGCACCAUGUUUGUACAGCCUGUAGAACCAUGAGCCAACUAAUCCUCUUUUCUUUAUAAGUUACCUAGGUAGUUACCAGGAUUUUUUUUUUUUUUCGAAGUCUCAGUCUUGUCCCCCAGGCUGGAGCGUGAUGGCGCGAUCUUGGCUCAUUGCAACCUCCGCCUCCGGGGCUCAAGCGAUUCUCCUGCCUCAGCCUCCUGAGUAGCUGGGAUUACAGGCACCUACCACCACACCCGGCUAAUUUUUGUAUUUUUAGUAGAGACAGGGUUCCACCAUGUUGGCCAGGCUGGUCUCGAACUCCUGACCUCAGGUGAUCUGCCCGCCUCGGCCUCCCAACGUGCUGGGAUUACAGUCGUGAGCCACUGCGCCUGGCCCAGGUAUUUCUUUAUAGCAAUGCAAAAACAGACUAAUACAGAGGCCGUUAAGCUGCCUGCCACAGCUAUGUAAAUAGUGCUCACUACAUGAUAUUAUAGUGCAUGUUAUAGGGAGUCAUGAUUAUAUUUCUUUUCUAUACAACUUUUUAUUUUCUUUGGACCUAAUAUUUGCCUCUUUUUUUCUAUUUGCUUGUGUUUUACAUGUAUCUAUUAUUAAUUCAUCCUUAAACCAUCUGAUACAGCUGACAAUCUUAAUUCCUAAACAUGCCAACUAUUCUUUUAGUUCCAUCUCUCUUUUCUUGGCAUCAUUCCUCAAGAGCUCUCUGUCUUUCUUCUCCAAUUUGGGUUUUGCCUUUUUGGGGUGCAGCAUAGGUGUUUUCUUGUGGUUUCUCUUCACUACCAUCCUGAUUUUUUUCUCUCUCUCUUCUGUUUUAGACUCUCUGUUUCCAGGAUCCCAUGUCUUUGUUGUUGUUGUUGUUGUUGUUUAUUCUCCCAUUUAACCGACUCACAUCAACAUCUUUCUACCAGUUCUCCUGUUAUCCUGGCCUCCUGUGUGAUCUGUAACCCAAACACCUGGGUUUUUCCAGGAAUCUUCAAGGAACAAGAUCUUGUAUUUGUGGCUUUGUCUGGGGCAGGUUUAAAUUUCAACACUCCCUGGUCUGCUAACUCAGCCGCAAUUCACCUCUCUUCCAGCUCUCAGCUUUUGUUGAUAUCAAUUGUGUACUGUCAUCUCUCAAAGUCUCUUUGGCCGUGUAGGCUUGAGCCGCUUUUUAUAUCUUGCUGAUAUUUUAGUGAGAUUUCAGCAGGGAGAGAAGAAUGGGUGUGUGGACACCUCUGUGCUGGGAACUGAUUACUUGGCUUCCACACUUGGUUCAGCUCUUCCACUGAAGGCAUGGGAUUGUUUAUUUUUCCCACAGAUAUUUUUGAAAUAUUCUAAAAUGGAAGCUAUUGCACUAACUGCCACUACAUUAUUUAUUUUGUCAUGUAGUAGGGUAUCUGCUGAGAUGGCCAGACCCCAUUGCUCUAUUUUUUUAAUAGUAUAAUUUCUUUUUUGCUUUGCUUCAAAGACUCUAAAUUAUUUUAAUAGGUUUAUAUAUUUUUCUUUUCCUCUUGAAUUAAGACAGAAGUAAUUUUUCCAAUGACUCUGUUAUCUCAGUUUUGUAUUAAACCUCUCCAGCUUCACUUAGUGGCUCCAGCAGGACAAUCUAAGGUGUGUAAUAGGAAUGUCUCAGUCUCACUUGCCCACUCAUACAAAUGAAACCAUGGUUAUAAAAAUACUCUUGCUGGCUGCAGAAAACUAAACUGCAUCCAGGAUUCUUUUCUCAAUUUUUUUCCAUGAAUCCCUAGGGAUAUUAACAUGUGUCCAGAAAUCAGUUGUGGUCAUUUAUGACUUCACUGCUGGCUAAGCCAGGACCACACAGUAGUCCCAUGCUGGAAAUUUCUGCAGGGUUCACUCUGUAGUGAGAACAUUGCUGGUACUGCUGGAGGUACCAUUUUCCAUGAAAACAGGCUCCUCCUCUCUCUGACACAGAGGAACUAGGCAUCUCUAGCCUCAGCGUCAGUCACCCUUGCAGGUGACAGACAAGCUCCAGUGUUGGGUGCUUGGGAGUGGAGAUUCUCAGGCUUUCUAUGUUAUGACUUGCCUCUUAACCCUGGCAUGGCUGAGCUUUGGUCUUCCAGCUCAAACCCUAAUAGAUCUUCAGGGAUGGGGUUCCCAUCAAGCAGCAACCUCCACUCACUUGCAGUAGGUCUUUGUUAAUCCAUCCAUGAGAUAUCUCCAUGGUAAGAGGAAGGAUAUUCUCACCCAGCUUUACUGCCUGGACCCAGUGUAAUCUGGCUCUAUCAACUCAACAUACUCUCACCACAGCAUCCAUCCUCCUUAAAACUUCCACCCUUUCCUGGGAAUUCUCUCUCUCAUUCAUUAGGCAUGCUUCUAUAUCCUAGAAACCCAAGGGGUAUUAGAGUUCAAUCCACCUUUUCCUCCAUGAGCUCCUCAGUUCUUAUGUGGAUUUAAGUACAAAUAGACUCAGGGGAGAAUCCACCUUUCCUAGCCCUCUGUCCCAACUCUUCUGGCCAGCCAUGUCUACUGCACAGUGUAACAGAAUAGCUGAAGGGAAAUUUUGUUUAAGACAGUAAUCUCCAAAGUGAGUUUCACAAGUGGUAUGGGAAGGAAAAAAUAUAUAAUUUCUAUUUAUUUAUUUAUUUAUUUAUUUAUUCAUUCAUUCAGAGACAGAGUCUCAUACCGUUGCCUGGGCUGGAGAGCAAUGGCGCGAUCUCGGCUCACUGCAACCUCCGCCUCCCGGGUUCAAGCGAUUCUCCUGCCUCAGCCUCCCGAGUAGCUGGGAUUACAGGUGUCUGCCACCACGCCUGGCUAAUUUUUUUGUAUUUUUAGUAGAGACAGGGUUUCACUAUGUUGGCCAGGCUGGUCUCAAAUUCCUGACCUCGCGAUCGGCCUCCCAAAGUGUUGAGAUUACAGGCGUGAGCCACUGCACCCAGCCAAUUUCUAUUUAUUUUUUAAUUGCAUGCUUUAAAAAAAUUUGCAUUCAUGUUUUACGUGCAUGUGUAAACAUUACAAUCUAUGGUCAAACAUUUUUUCUGAGUGGAGUACAGUCUUGUAACAGUAGGUAAUCCAGCAGUGUCCACAAGAUGGACCUGUGGGGCCCCAGACACCCAUUGUGUUCGUGUAUUUAAUAAUUUCACUUGAAGGCUCACUGUUAUAGUGUUUCUGUGUGGAUAUCAAGACUGCUUACUCGUUUUUACUUAUCAUUAGGGUGACGAAGGUUUUUGCUUUCCAGUCUCAGGAAAUUCACACAAUAUUUGCCUACCAAGGCUUUUAGGUUCAUAAAGCAACAUUAAAAUAUAAAAUAAAUCGUAUUGAACUUCUGGUAUUACUACUGUUAUUACCUAAAUUUUGUCACCUGUGGUGAGAUACAUUUUCAAUCUUUUUUCCACUUGUGAACCAAAUGCUCCCUUUAGGUUUCUUUACAAUUGCUAUGUGGCUAAUUGCUUUCAGCUACAGAAAGCCUAGAUAUGUAUGGGUUUCUCUUUGAAUUAGGCCUUCAAAAAUUUGAAACAAAAAAAAUUGACAAACGAAUCUAUUUACCACAGCAAACUGAACUGCAUAUAUUCCUAUUAAGGUCCAUUUAUGCAUUGCUGGUAGACGUUGCUGACUUCCCAGACUUUGGGACUGGCUUAUCCAGAUGGACUCACGUGAGGCCACGUUGAAGAAGGGUAGCAAAUCACUCAAUGGCAUAAACACUGAGCUGCAAUAUUCGUGUGGCAAGAGGGCAUGUGUGGAGAGCAUGGGCCGGGUCUGACUUGCUAGUUGCAUAGUCUCUAAGGCCAGUGACUCAGGUGCCAUAGAGCACUGCAUCUGGGAUUUAUGCUGUCUCGAAGUCAUGUGUUUCAUUCCUUACUCCAUAUCCACGGCCAUCGCCAGCCUCCAAGAGGACCCCUGGUGAUCCCCACCUCCUGAUUUUCAUACCUGUAUGGACUCUUCCCACAUUGGACAAGGGGUGGUCUGUGUGACCAAUAAAAUAUGGCAAAAAUGAUUGCAUGUCACUUCCAAGAUGAGGUUAUGAAAGACACUGUAGCUUUUGUCUUGGUCACUUUCCUUCAUUCUCUUUCUCUCUUGGAUCAUUUGAUUCUGGGGAACUGAGAUACCGUGUCAUGAGCAGCCUUGUGGUAGGCCCUGUGCUAAGUGCUGGGUAUACAGGGAGUGCACCAUAAUUGUGCCUGUGAAUAGCCACUGCUCUCCAGCCUGGGCAACAUAGUGAGACUCUGUCUCUAAAAAUUUUUUUUUAAAUUAAAAAAAAUUUUUAAAAAUAGAGAAAAAGGAGAUGUUGACAAGAUAAAUAAUGUGGGAAACUUAAUAGGCAGAAGUAUCUGAAAUUCAACUAGAAGAAGGAACAGAACUUGUAUUGAUAUUCUGGGGCCAUACAUAGCUCCAAGAAGAAUUGCUGAGUAGAAAGAUACCUGCUAGAGGAGUAAGUUGCUUUAUGAUCAACUCAUGUAUUCAUUUUUUCAUCCAAUAAUUUCUAUUGAGUAUCUGUUGUGCAUUAAUCACUGGGGUAAGUCAGAGGUAGCUCUAACCUUCAUAAAGCUUAAUUGUACAGAGAGAGAGAGAGAUACUAAUUGUACAAAGAGAAUUAAAUCGCUAUUAAAAAAUUAUACUUAAAUAAAAAGUUUCCUUUAAAUACUGGGUAUACAGAGUUAAGAUACAUUCCCAUUUAAAAAAAAGUAUUCAGUUUUUCAGAGGAGACAGCAAUGUUCUCAAGCAGUGCAGUGCACCAUAGUACGUGCAACAGCAGAAGAGUGCAUAAAUCUUCCCUGGAGCUUCAAGGAAACCAUGCUUGUCUCAGCUUUGGUUCAUUGAAGAAUUGCCUUUUAAACUGGAGAGGAAAAAAAAUAGAUGCCUUGAGGCAAAUGGGGAGGUGGAGAGGGGAAAGGAGUCUUUUCAGGCAGACAACUACAGAUGUAAGGGCAGGAAAUUGAGUUCUAUAUGAAUUUAAUGGGAAAAAAAAAGGAACUUAGAACUUUCUCUCAUGGACCCCAAUGGAAAUAUAAAAGAUGUGUAAGAGAAAAUGUCUGUCCUCUAAAAUCUUAUGCCUUCCCAAGAUUUGAAGCCAUAAGAGAUCCCUUGAAACUCUGAGAAUGCUUGAACCUGAUGCUGUCCAAUAUGGCAGCCACUAGACCUAUGUGGCUAUUUGCUUCUUGAAAUGUGGCUGGUUUGAAUCAAAUGUGCUGUUAAGUCUAAAAUACCAAAAUUUGGAGAUGUCACAAAAAAGGUAAAUUAUCUCAUUAAUAAUUUUGCAUUGAUUACACAUUGAAAUGAUGUUUUUGGUAUAUUGAGUUACAUAGAGCACAUUGUUAAAAUCUAUUUUAUCUCUUUCCUUUCAGUCUUCUCAAAGGGACUGCUACUAAGUUUAAAAUGCUAUCUGUGGUCUGCCUUGUGGCUGGCAUUGUGUCCCUUGCGGACAGUGCUGGUUUAUAAGCUGCUGUGGCAAUGGCCCAAGAGAGCCUCUGGCACCAGCAUUGUGGAUGGGAAAGAAGGAAGAGGGCCCAGACAUAUUGAGAGGACCACAACCCAUGUGCUUUCCUCGACACUCACUUGGUGCUGAGGGGGUCUAGUGUAGGGCCUGGGGAAAGCUGAGCUGGAGAAGAGGUGGUAUUGGGUUCAGAUUCAGAGAUGGGUGCUGUGUGCAGGCAGCCCUCUGACAUGGGUGCUGACACCCAUUCCUGGUGACUGGUGCAAGAUAAUGCAUUCACUCCACACCCUCCCACCACAUCGGAAGCUUUUUAGUUCAGAAUUCUUUGGAACAUUUGCUUCCCUUUUGCUUCUAAUAUUAUAGCAUGGGUGGAAGAAAAGAGAAGGGGCUGUGCUCUUAGAAAGGGAAGGGAUACUUGGCAAUAGAGGAGAAGCCUAUCUAAUGUCUUUAGAGGAAUUGAGUCUGGUUCUGGACACAUUCCAUUUGCUCUGCUGGAAGGUCUGAGAGUCUAACAAGUCUCUAUCAGGCUGCAUGAUUUGGGGUCUUCAUUGGGUAUAUGUUGGGGCAACCCAUAUCUUAUUUUCUUGACUUGUAAAGGCUUGGAACUAGGCUUUAUUGGGCUGAAAAAGGAAAUAGGAAUUUCCUGGGUCUAAAGACUUCAUGUAUUGACCCGUAAUUGGAGGGACUGACCAGAUCAAUUGCUGGAGGUCAUCUGAGUUGUUGACCAGGCUCUGAAAUGGGGUGCUGAUUCUAUUUUAGUCUCUCUUACAAAUUGCUGUGCGACCUUGCCAAAGAUAGCAGCAUCUCUCUGUCUUUAUAUCCUAUUGGUUAAUCAAUUUCUGGAUCUGAAUAGCCAGGGUGCUCUGUAGAUUUACUUUAAAACAUUUUUUAAGUACACCAUCAAUAAGAACAUCGUGCUUUUUUAGGUAGAAAGCACUUUGGAGGAGAAUUAUUGAUUGUGUUCCAGGACCUCUGAGUGGAACUGUAGUAUUAAUAGAAGAGAACAUUGCCCAAUUCUGGGAAUGUUGAAGCAGGUGGAAAUGAACUGGGGGAACAGCAUCUUCCGUGCCCCCUUCAGGUUACUCCAGACAGUUAAGGCAUAUGUAGUCUGAACUAUCGCCACACAGCAGACCCAGGCUGGCUAGCCCUCCUAAUCAAAGACUUCGUGUAGAGUUUUAGGGAAUAACUUUGUUUUAGUUUGUUAGGUUGCCAUAACAAAGUACCACAAAUUGGGUGGCUUAAACAGCAGAAGUGUAUUCUUGCAUAGUUCUGGAGGCUGGAAGUCUGAGAUCAGGGUGUUAGGAGGGUCGGUUUCUUCUGAGCGUUUUGAGCGUGACUCUAUUUCAUGUUUCUCUCCCUAGCUUUUGGUGGUUUGCUGGUAAUCUUUGGCAUUCCUUGGCUUGCAGGCUCAUCAUCUAGAUCUCUGCCUUCAUUUUCACAUGAUGUUCUCUCUGUGUGCAUGUCUGUGUCUAAAUUUCUCCUUAUAAGGACACCAGUUGUAUUGGAUAAGAGCCCACUCUAAAUCAUUGUAACUUGAUUACUUUUUGUUUCAUGGUGGGCAGGUCUAUGCAACCCUACUCCCAAAGUCCAAGGAAGCUAAGAGGCUAAAAAAAGAGGCUGACAAAUCCAGUUUCUUAGAAAGAACUGGGACUUAUGAACAGAAGCCAUGUCUGGGUUUCAGGGGAUGGCGAGACAAGAUGGUGGACCGCUGCACCAUUAUCCCCCAGACCCAGGGCUUGUAGACCAUAAAAAAAGGGGUGGUUCAGAACGGAUUUGUGGGACAAUUGAAGUAUGAUAACAUCAAGGUUGUCUUACCUAAGGGCAAGAUUUACAGUAAGUACCUAAGUUUACGCAGGAAACAAUAGAUGAACUGGAAAUCUUAGAGACCUUCCUGGAACUGUGGUUAAUCAGAAUCCAACAUGGCUGAUUAGCAUCCAAGAUGGAGUCACUUAAACCUCCACACUUCUGUAAAGAACUUGUCUCCAAUCAUCUUACAUUCUAAGGAACUGGGGAUUAGGACUUCAAUACAUAAACAACAUAAACUUGGGGGAAAAACAAUUUGACCCAUAACAAACUCCAUUCAAGGAAAGUAUUGAUAUCUUUUGCCUUAUGUUAUUUUUAUAUAUACCAAGUGGGCCUAUUGAGUAACCUCCCCUUGUUGAUGGAUCCAUGUGAACUGGUGUUACUUUUCUAUAACUGCUAUGUUUGUUUUCUUUUAAACAUCUUUUACUCUCUAGGUCCUCAUUCCUUGAGCAUAUCCUACGCUGAUUCCAUAACUUUUCACUCAUUUGGUUGUUAUGAUUCUGAUCCAUUCUUCCCUAAAGGGGAAAGAAUAACAAAGAAGAGGCUUUGUUUCUAGUGGUAUAGCUGGUAUGAUGGAUACUGUACAGGACCCUCCCAAAUCAAACAACUAAAAUACUAUUUCUUUAAAGAUAUAAACACCUUUUUCUUUUUUUUUUUUCGAGAUGGAGUCUCGCUCUGUCGCCCAGGCUGGAGUGCAGUGGUGUGAUCUCGGCCCCCACGCCUGGCUAAUUUUUUGUAUUUUUAGUACAGAUGGGGUUUCACCAUGUUAGCCAGGAUGGUCUCGAUCUCCUGACCUUGUGAUCCACCUGCCGUGGCCUCCCAAAAGUGCUGGGAUUACAGGUAUAAGCCACAGCGCCAGGCCAUAAACGCCUUUUUAAAUACACUACUGAGCUGAAAUGAAAGUAAGACACCAUCAGAGUUUUUCUUUUCCAAUACACUUUUUAUUUUGGAAUAAUUUUAGAUCUACAGAAAAGUUGCAAAGAUAGCACAGAGUUCCAGUUUCAGUUUCCCCUAAGGUUAUUAUCUUACAUUAAGAUGACAUAUUUUUCAAAACCUCCGUAUUGCACCUGUAAUCCCAGUUACUCAGGAGGCUGGGGCAGGAGAAUCGCUUGAACCCGGGAGGCAGAGGUGGCAGUGAGCUGAGUUGGUGCCAUUCCACCCCAGCCUGGGUGACAGAGUAAGACUCCGUCUCAAAAAAACAAAGAACAAAAAACAAAAACAAAACCUCCAUAUUAACAUUAGUACAUCACUGUUAGCUCCAGACUUUCUACAGAGUUCACUCGUUUUCCCAUUAGUGUCCAGAAUCCAUUCCAGGGUACUGUCCAUGGUGUAUUGAGUUGUUCUGUCCCAUCAGUCUCCCUUGGCCUGGUCUAUGCCAGUUCUUCAGUCUUUCAUUGUCUUUCAUGAUCUGGACAGUUUUGAAGA